GACAGAGGUGCCGAGCGUUAGGCGGAAUCACUGGGCUUAAAGCGUGUGUAGGCGGAUGCCUAAGUACCUUGUGAAAUCCCAUGGCUCAACCAUGGAACUGCUUGGUAUACUGGGUGUCUUGAGCUAUCUAGGGGCAACUGGAACAAACGGUGGAGCGGUGAAAUGCGUAGAUAUCGUUUGGAACGCCAAUGGUGAAAACAGGUUGCUGGGGAUAUGCUGACGCUGAGACACGAAAGCCAGGGGAGCAAACGGG
This 253-nucleotide ribosomal RNA is filed under the name uncultured bacterium. Its description in RNAcentral is "partial 16S ribosomal RNA". It matches the Rfam family "Bacterial small subunit ribosomal RNA", at positions 524 to 776 of the family's 1533-position model. The record is from RNAcentral.